CCUCAUCAACCGCAUCAUUAACAAGGGGUUCUGAUCGAGGUCUGAAGACUGAUGGGUGUCUGAUCGAGGUCUGAGUACUGAUGCGGGUCUGAUCGAGGUCUGAAGACUGAUGGGGGUCUGAUCGAGGUCUGAGGACUGAUGGGGGUCUGAUUGAGGUCUGAGGACUGAUGGGGGUCUGAUCAUGGUCUGAGGACUGAUGGGGGUCUAAUCGAGCUCUUAGAGUCCUAAGACCUCGAUCAGACCCCCCAUCAGUCCAUCACCCCCAACCAAUGGAGGUUCGAUCAAGAUCUGAGGACUUACGGGGGUCUGAUCGAGGUCUUAGAACAGGGUCUGAUUAAGGUAUAGGUACUGAUGGGGGUCUGAUCGAGGUCUGAGGACGGAUGGGGGUCUGAUUAUGGUCUUAGGACGAAUGGAGGUCUGAUCCACCACACCGUCAAGACCGGACCGCGGACCGCGGCAAAUUUCAAAUAAAAAGACGGUAGAAAGAAAGAUGGUGAAAUUUGAGAAAAAGACGAAUGAAACGGAGAAAGUGAGAGAAAGAGACGGGUGAGAAACAUGAGGAACAAAAGGACAGAGGAAGUAGAGCAUUUAAUCCUCAGUGGACGGACUGGUUUCUGUUCAUACUGAACCAGCGUCCCACGAGCUCAGAACCCGUUGAAACGCCAUCAUGAGGCGCAAUGAGCUCCUCCAUCUGAGGAGGAGAACCUGAUGCAUUAAGACCAGGUUUAACAUCCUGGCGUCUUAAUUCUCCCACUUACCAAAAAAGUGGGGGAGCGUAUUAUAUAUAUAUAUAUAUAUAUAUAUAUAUAUAUAUAUACAUAUAUAUUCUAUUCAACUGUUGUUAAGAUGUGUUGCUGACUCUGUCAAGUCCAAAUGGGAAGCAGAAAAUGGGAAAUUCAAGCUUUUCUUCCCGUUAUUUUAUUUUUUCUGAAUUGAAGCACUUUAUCAUGAACGUUGACCGAUGACGUCAUAUAGACAUUUUGAUAUUUCAAGACAAGUUUAAGUUCGAAUAAUGUGCUAAUAUUUACACUAAUAUUAAUAACAUUUAUUAUAUUGAGUUAAAAUGUCUGGAAGGGGGAAGGGCAGGACCCAGACGAGCAAAAAUCCAAAAUCCGUGUGAACUAGAGCUGCACGGCGUGGCCACAAAUCCCUAUCAGGGUAUUUAGAAGGAUUCUGACGGCAUGUGACGCCAUCGCUUUCCAAGUAAAGAAACGGAUUCAUUGACCCUGAAACGGGCCGCGGCCACCCGAACAGCUGUUCGUCAUUGGCCAACUGGCCGGCGGGUUAGCGUGCUAGCGUGUUAGCUCGUUGUGGCUGCUAGCAGUGCCACCAGAGGCGCCACAGACUUUGCAACACAUCGUUUUCUGAUUUAACUUACAACCAAAAAGCCUCCAAACAGACUGGACUCUUCUGUUGGGCCCAAGUUGUGUUGGAGCAUCUCUGGUCUCCUUGUUCCUCCUUGUCGCUCUUUUCCCUGUUUCCAUGUAGCAGCAGUUACUUCUUGUUGUGAGCUUUACCCUACUUUUAUUUAGUUAAUUGGACAUUAUUUAUAUCUGCAGUCACGCACAUAUAUUAGGACUGUCAACGAAUGGUCUAUAUUUGAAUAUAUAUUCAAACAACUAUUCCAUGUGAAAUGUGUCUGCUUAGUGCGCCUGCCUGUACUGACUAUAUAUAGCAUGAAUAAAAUAGACUACAACAGCUUCAGAACUUGAUUAUUAUGUUGUUUCGUUUCAUUGUUUACAGCUCAGAUCGCUCGCUUCAACGUCGCUUCUGUAAAACCUUCAGUUUCAAUCUCUGAAUGAAGCCUGACAUGUGGGACAAGAAUCACCACCUUAAAUUGCACGAAACUCUUGAUCAGCACUCGUUUAUUGUUGUCGCUUUGCGAAUAUAUAUUCAAAUAUGUGUUUUUUAAAGCAAAUAUUCAUAUUUUUGAGCAAAUUGAGCCCAUAUAUAUGUUCAGUUUUAGAAUCAUACUGAAUUAAUUUGAUCUGUUAGUCGUGUAUUGAUUAAAUGCAAAUGUUGAUAGAACUCUUCCUCUGCUUAAUCACACUAAGUAGUCACAUUAUGAUCUUCUGGACCUUUGCUUCUCUAACUGGACCUCUUUUUAGUUAGGACCUCUGGUCUAGAGGAUGCUGCUGAUCUGGAUUUCUGAGCGAGGACUGAUGGAAGUCUGGAGGACCAGUAGAGAUCUGAAGAAUUCCUUGUGGUCUGCAGGACUUGGUCUGCACCUCCUUUUCUUCACAUUUCUCGUGGAUUUAAAUUCUGGUGAUUCUUUUGUUCUGAGAGAAGAAGGAUGUUUAUGAGGCUCCAGGUUCUGAUCCUGAUCUGCUUUGUGUUCAAGUUGACGGUCAUGUGAUUAGAUCAGGUACAAGGUCCAAGAAUAAACAUAACUAUAAACUAAUAGACAUGACAAAACAUGUGGAUCCUCGAUCCGGUUCUGACCCGGUUCUUUGGACCGACUCAGAUCUUUAGUCUCCACGUCGAGGCCACUUGGGGGUUCUGAUUUUCGGUCUUUCUUCCGUUUCCAUCUCGGUUGUUUUGGGGCUCUUUUGAAGAAAAAGACGGUCUAUAUUAUUAUUGAUCUGUUUAAUGAAAUGGACGUUACUUUUAUCUUAGAUCACGAUCAAUCUAAUUACAUCAUAAAGUAUUGAUCCUGGAAACGCUCCAUUCGCACUUCUACAACCUGGAGGUCCCAUCGCACCGAGGAAGACCCUGAUGAGACUCUAAUCAGACCCUGGCCCCGAUCGGACCUCGAUUGGUCCCUAAUCAAGACCCUGAUCGGACCGCUGUCGAGGUCUGAUGAGACCAAUAAGAACACCGUCAACCCCAAUUAGACCUUGAUAAGACCUCCAUUAGACCACGAUUGGACCGGAAGUAGACCCUGAUCAGACCCUGAUGAGACUAAUCAGACUACGAACAGACGUCGAUCAAAGCUUGAUCAGAUCUUUAUUGAUUAGAUGCAAUAAGGGUUAAAGAGUAAACAUCUCGGUUGGUCUAAAUCAAUGAAUUAUUGACGUCGGCGUCGAAUCGAUGCGUCUCGUCGUGAAUCCAUCGAGCGCGUGAGGACGUCGAUUUCCUCCAGCGUGUUCAGAGCCGAUAAACGAGCCGAUGAGUUCAGCGUUUAAACAUAAACGGGUGAAAAGCGUAAAAACGCCUCUGAACGCAAAUUCAGAGGACAUCGAUCUUUUAUUCAAAAAGAGCAGGAAAGAUGUUUAUUCAAGAAGAACAAAUCGUUUUACAUAUUAAAGAACUCAAGAAUAGAAUCAAACUCUAACUCUAGUCGGCGACAGGAAUCCGAGACGCUAACAUCAUGAACCCGGAUCCCAACACGCACUCCGAUGGAAAGCUCACAAAGCCAAACACAACUCCAACAAUUACACACAAAAUAUCAAAUGCAAAUUUCAGCCCAAACUGAACAACUCUGAAAAAACUGAGAAUAAAUUAUUAUUAUUAUGAAACAAAAGCUUCAGGAUGUGAUUUCAUGGGAGGCCAUUUUCGCUCCGCACGUUUCCUCCUUUUAGCCGGCGCUCGAUCCCAUUGGCUCUGACGGUUCCACGGAGAGGCGGGACUUAGGAAUCGGGGUAAACGGCACCUGGGAGAUUUUGGGCUGUACAAAAUAAAAUGCAUUGAAUUGAAUCUUUUGGGGGUAAAGUCCCUGUAUAUACUUACUUUUCUUUUUUGUUCUGUGUGCCAUACAAAUACACACAUACAUAUAUAUAUAUAGAUAUACAUAUAUAUGUAUAUGUGUGUGUACAUACAUAUGUACACACACACACAUAUAUAUAUAUAUACUCAUAUUUUUACAUCCAAGCUCACUUGCACUUUUCCCUUUUAUCAUAACAACCUUUGGUUUCAUAAAUAUUCAUUUUAAAGCAAUAAGCCAAUCCAAUCGGUUCUGAACCUUAAGGUUCUGCUGCAGGUUCUGGGUCAGAUUCUGGGUCAGGUCCGACGAGGAGGAACCAGAUUCAAUUAUUUUGUGUAAUGAACAGCGGGUACGCAGGGAGGGGCUCAGUGGGACCCAGUAAACCGGCAGGAGCAGGUCGACAGGUGACGGUUCCGACGGGUCCGCGUCUCCAACAGGACCCAAACAUGUGAUGUUAACUACACUUCAGGAGUCAUGGGUAAAUAUACGGACCAGCCUGAUGGGGUGUGUAGGGAUGAGUGGAUGGACACAAAGCGGGACAAACCAAGUAGACAGUGAACAGGGGGGAGUUUGGGCUCCGGGUUCGGAGGGGAGCGCUGCAUCGUGACUAUUUGGGUCCUGGAGGUCACGCUGUGUUUUUUGGGUUAAAAUUUUCUUUUCUUUUUUCCAUUUCUCAGUUUAGGAACCCAACAGAUUGCAUUCUGGGACAAUUUAGUGAGCUGUCCUUUUUGUUACUAAAGAAUAUACGUUAAUAAAGUUUAUAAAUGAAGAAUCUAUAGCAAGUUGUAGCUCUGCUUAUUUGAUGAAAUUGCACUUUCUAGGUUUGUGUCCUUGUGGUUGGUAAGUGGCCAUAAUGUGAUGUAAUGUAAGAUGAAUCAUCUUUAAUGGGUGUUUGCUUGUAAACAUUGUGAUCUAGUUUCUCCCGUGUGGAGGUCAAAGGUCACACGUCUCUUUGUGUGAGAAUAUAAACCCGGAUUACCCCCCCCGUCUAGACAGCCUCCUCUAUUGUUCACUGUGGUGAGUUGGUUGCUGUGUGCUUUGUGCAACCUGACUGCGUGUGUGUGUCGUCUUUGGGGUGCGCUUGGCGAUGUUGACCCGCGUGUCCCUGGUGGGUGGGUGCUGAGGAGAGAGCAGAAAGAAAAACGUUAUUCCAGAGCAGCAGAUCCAUCGUGUUCCUCUGGAGAGCUGAGAGACCCUUUGUCCUCGUGUGUGUGUGUGUGUGUGUGUGUGUGUGUGUGUGUGUGUGUGUGCGUGUGUGUGUCUGUGUGUGUGUGUCUGUGUGUGUGUGUGUGUGUCUGUGUGUGUGUGUCUGUCUGUGUGCGUGUGUGUCUGUGCGUGUGUGUGUGUGUGUGUGUUUGCGUGUGUCUGUGCGUGUGUGUGUGUGUGUGUGUGUGUGUCUGUGUGUGUGUGUGUGUGUCUGUGUGUGUGUGUGUGUCUGUCUGUGUGUGUGUGUGUGUCUGUCUGUGUGUGUGUGUGUGUGUGUGUCUGUCUGUGUGUGUGUGUGUGUGUGUGUGUGUGUGCGUGUGUCUGUGUGUGUGUGUGUGUCUGUCUGUGUCUGUGUGUGUGUGUGUGUCUGUCUGUGUCUGUGUGUGUGUGUGCGUGUGUGUGUGUGUGCGUGUGUCUGUGUGUGUGUGUGUGUCUGUCUGUGUGUGUGUGUGUGUGUGUGUCUGUGCGUGUGUGUGUGUGUGUGUGUGUCUGUGUGUGUGUCUGUCUGUGUGUGUGUGUGUGUGUGUGUGUCUGUCCUCUGUGUUAACCAGCAGCAGACUUUAGUGGACUUUAGUCCUGGUCUUCUCUGGUCUGGUGUGUGAGUUCUUAGCGGAGACGUCAGCUAGAAGGUCCCUUUUAUUUUGAAGUUGUGUUUUUAAAGUUGUUGUAAGUCAGACAGUAAAACUAGAACGUAAUGUGUGAACCAGAAGUCCAAGUUUACUUGUUUCUACUUGAUCGAGAAACCUCUCCUCUUACAGUCCUGGUUCUGGUUCCCCCAGGAUUCCCCUCCCUCCAGCGGGUCCUGCACUGCAUUGUGGGUCUCCAGAGAGCAGAAGAUCUUCUACUGGAGGAGCCUCUCCAAUGCUGGAGGAAGGGACUUUUAUUUAGAAAGGGCCGUUUAAUGGGUGCAUUUCCGGGUAACUAGUCAGUCACCUUGUGAGACGUAGUGCAGACUGUGUAGUUCCACCCAGCGGGUCAAACAGAUGCCCCCCCCAGGGGGUAACAGUACUGCGGUGGAUCUGACAGCCCCCCUGCAGACCUCCUCUCAUUACCCUGAGGAGGCUGCAGAGGGGAACUCUCAGGCUCCGGAUUAGCUUCAGUCUGCUGGCCCCCCAUGACGGAUGAGGGCGGAUUCCAUUCAGGGGAUUUACCACAGUGGUAUUUGGACAUUAUUCAACUGUGAGUCUUCUCGUCCGGAGGUUUAUAAAUACAACACAUUCAAUUCAUACGACAGGAAUGAUUCAAAUAACAGCGAGUAGUAACCACGUGUACCGCAGGACCACUGCAGGGACCACCACCAUCGCAUAGAACCACCAUCACAUAGAACCACCAUCGCAUAGAACCACCAUCGCAUAGAACCACCAUCACAUAGAACCACCGUCAGAUAGAACCACCGUCACAUAGAACCACCGUCAGACAGAACCACCUAAAAAGCUAAAGAAGAAGAAGUAAAUAGAAGAAGUGAGAUUCUGUCUGUGUGUGUGUGCUAACGAUGCUAAUGGAAACAGAUAGAGUUGAGUUUCAGCAUGAGAACAUGACGCCCCCAUCCGACCAUCAGUACGUUCUCGUCUGCAGCGCUGCAGGGGCUGCUGGGUAACGGCGUGGAGAGGCGUGUCAGCUGUGAUCUUGAAUAAAUCUUUUUGUUGCACAUUCAGAUCAGAGAGUAACGAAGCGUCUGCAGAACCUCCUCCUUUGUCAUGCAGGAAAUCUACUCAUGGUCAUCUGAUACCUAGUUAGUCAGUUAGUUCUCGAGUCUAUGGCUAACAAGUCUGUGGCUAACAAGUCUGUGGCUAACAAGUCUGUGGCUAACAAGUCUGUGGUUAACGAGUCUGUGGUUAAUGUGAGUUAAUGUAUAUAUAUAAAAUGUUUCCAUGGUUGUGUGUUUAUAAAAUA
Gasterosteus aculeatus aculeatus (three-spined stickleback) is the source of this 6742-nucleotide long non-coding RNA. Lineage: Eukaryota; Metazoa; Chordata; Actinopteri; Perciformes; Gasterosteidae. The record is from Ensembl.